AAAUUGAAGAGUUUGAUCAUGGCUCAGAUUGAACGCUGGCGGCAGGCCUAACACAUGCAAGUCGAACGGUAACAGAAAGCAGCUUGCUGCUUUGCUGACGAGUGGCGGACGGGUGAGUAAUGUCUGGGAAACUGCCCGAUGGAGGGGGAUAACUACUGGAAACGGUAGCUAAUACCGCAUAACGUCGCAAGACCAAAGAGGGGGACCUUAGGGCCUCUUGCCAUCGG
RNAcentral lists this ribosomal RNA (227 nucleotides) under Escherichia coli. RNAcentral's name for it is "partial 16S ribosomal RNA". It matches the Rfam family "Bacterial small subunit ribosomal RNA", at positions 1 to 224 of the family's 1533-position model. Lineage: Bacteria; Pseudomonadati; Pseudomonadota; Gammaproteobacteria; Enterobacterales; Enterobacteriaceae. The record is from RNAcentral.